AGCAGCCGCGGUAAUUCCAGCUCCAAUAGCGUAUAUUAAAGUUGUUGCAGUUAAAAAGCUCGUAGUUGAAUUUCGGGAUCAGUAUGUUGGUCGUGCUUCGGUACGUACUGUCAUUACUGGUUUCUACCUUCUGAAGAACCUUGAUGUCAUUAAUUUGGUGUCUUGGGGAAUCAGGACUGUUACUUUGAAAAAAUUAGAGUGUUUAAAGCAGGCAUACGCUUGAAUACAUUAGCAUGGAAUAAUGAAAUAGGACGUUUGAUUCUAUUUUGUUGGUUUCUAGGAUCGACGUAAUGAUUAAUAGGGAUAGUUGGGGGCAUUAGUAUUCAAUUGUCAGAGGUGAAAUUCUUGGAUUUAUUGAAGACUAACUACUGCGAAAGCAUUUGCCAAGGAUGUUUUCAUUAAUCAAGAACGAAAGUUAGGGGAUCGAAGACGAUCAGAUACCGUCGUAGUCUUAACCAUAAACUAUGCCGACUAGGGAUCGGAUGAUGUUAUUUUUAAUGACUCAUUCGGCGCCUUACGG
RNAcentral lists this ribosomal RNA (520 nucleotides) under uncultured Glomus. RNAcentral describes it as "SSU rRNA". It matches the Rfam family "Eukaryotic small subunit ribosomal RNA", at positions 569 to 1093 of the family's 1831-position model. The record is from RNAcentral. Lineage: Eukaryota; Fungi; Glomeromycota; Glomeromycetes; Glomerales; Glomeraceae.